AGUUUGACAAAUAAACUACAAAAACUAUAUAUCUAUUAAUCUCAAAAACUAUAUAUGCCUAAUAGUUAAGAUAUGUUUCACUAUAUAAACAAAAUAUACUGCUAAGUUGAACUAUAGAUUCACUCAGGUUUGCUCUCUUCUUACUCUUCUUAACAAGUCACUCCUAGUUUCACUAAUUCUCUUCAUUGUCAUUGUCUUCUUCUUAAUGGUUCUCCUUCUUUUUCUCAUUGAUCUUUCUCUUUUGUUUGUGUAGGUUCAAUCAAAGGAUCCAACUCCAAGUUUUCUCCAUCGCCAAAAAUUUAUAAUAAGCGAAAGUAAUUGUCUCUCGAGCCAUGACAGAUUCGUGUAACUUGCAUCUUUGUGCUUCUCUUUUCAGCUUUAAGUGCAACGAGUCAAAGAGUUUGUGCCAAGCAAAAGAACCAUUCAACUGCAAUGAUGUGAGAACUUUCAACCGAACUAACUUUCCAAGAAACUUCACUUUUGGUGCAGCAACUUCAGCAUAUCAAGUAUG
This 511-nucleotide long non-coding RNA is filed under the name Capsella grandiflora. Its description in RNAcentral is "long non-coding RNA (CGRA_LNC001066)". The record is from RNAcentral. Lineage: Eukaryota; Viridiplantae; Streptophyta; Magnoliopsida; Brassicales; Brassicaceae.